UUCGCAAUGCCCGAAAGGGUGAACGAGCAACGCCGCGUGCGGGAUGAAGGGUUUCGGCUUGUAAACCGCUUUUCUUUGGGAAGAAGGUCUGUCUCGUGCAGAUGGGCUCGACGGUACCAGAGGAAUAAGCCUCGGCUAACUCCGUGCCAGCAGCCGCGGUAAGACGGAGGAGGCAAGCGUUGUUCGGAAUUACUGGGCGUAAAGGGUGCGUAGGCGGUUCGGUAAGUCUUGCGUGAAAUCUCCGUCGCUUAACGACGAAACUGCGCUGGAUACUGCUGAGCUCGAGGAUGGGAGAGGCUAGUGGAAUUCCAGGUGUAGCGGUGGAAUGCGUAGAUAUCUGGAAGAACACCGGUAGCGAAGGCGGUGGUCUGGGCCGAAACUGACGCUGAGGCGCGAAAGCCAGGGGAGCAAACGGGAUUAGAUACCCCGGUAGUCCUAGCCGUAAACGAUGGGCACUAAGUAGAGGGGUUUU
RNAcentral lists this ribosomal RNA (472 nucleotides) under uncultured bacterium. RNAcentral describes it as "bacterial SSU rRNA". It matches the Rfam family "Bacterial small subunit ribosomal RNA", at positions 364 to 832 of the family's 1533-position model. The record is from RNAcentral.